GUGGGGAAUUUUGGACAAUGGGCGCAAGCCUGAUCCAGCAAUGCCGCGUGCAGGAAGAAGGCCUUCGGGUUGUAAACUGCUUUUGUACGGAACGAAACGGUCCUGGUUAAUACCUGGGGCUAAUGACGGUACCGUAAGAAUAAGCACCGGCUAACUACGUGCCAGCAGCCGCGGUAAUACGUAGGGUGCGAGCGUUAAUCGGAAUUACUGGGCGUAAAGCGUGCGCAGGCGGUGCUGUAAGACAGGCGUGAAAUCCCCGGGCUCAACCUGGGAAUUGCGCUUGUGACUGCAGUGCUGGAGUACGGCAGAGGGGGAUGGAAUUCCGCGUGUAGCAGUGAAAUGCGUAGAUAUGCGGAGGAACACCGAUGGCGAAGGCAAUCCCCUGGGCCUGUACUGACGCUCAUGCACGAAAGCGUGGGGAGCAAACAGGAUUAGAUACCCGAGUAGUCC
RNAcentral lists this ribosomal RNA (450 nucleotides) under uncultured bacterium. RNAcentral's name for it is "partial 16S ribosomal RNA". It matches the Rfam family "Bacterial small subunit ribosomal RNA", at positions 354 to 796 of the family's 1533-position model. The record is from RNAcentral.